GAUGAACGCUAGCUACAGGCUUAACACAUGCAAGUCGAGGGGAAACGACAUCGAAAGCUUGCUUUUGAUGGGCGUCGACCGGCGCACGGGUGAGUAACGCGUAUCCAACCUGCCCAUCACUUGGGAAUAACCUUGCGAAAGUAAGACUAAUACCCAAUGACAUCCCACGAAGACAUCUGAAUGGGAUUAAAGAUUUAUCGGUGAUGGAUGGGGAUGCGUCUGAUUAGCUUGUUGGCGGGGUAACGGCCCACCAAGGCAACGAUCAGUAGGGGUUCUGAGAGGAAGGUCCCCCACAUGGGAACUGAGACACGGUCCAAACUCCUACGGGAGGCAGCAGUGAGGAAUAUUGGUCAAUGGGCGAGAGCCUGAACCAGCCAAGUAGCGUGCAGGAUGACGGCCCUAUGGGUUGUAAACUGCUUUUAUAAGGGAAUAAAGUGGGUCUCGUGAGACUUUUUGCAUGUACCUUAUGAAUAAGGACCGGCUAAUUCCGUG
RNAcentral lists this ribosomal RNA (492 nucleotides) under uncultured bacterium. RNAcentral describes it as "partial 16S ribosomal RNA". It matches the Rfam family "Bacterial small subunit ribosomal RNA", at positions 28 to 507 of the family's 1533-position model. The record is from RNAcentral.